AGAGUUUGAUCCUGGCUCAGAGCGAACGCUGGCGGCGUGCUUAACACAUGCAAGUCGAACGUGAAAGGGAGCAAUCCUGAGUAAAGUGGCGUACGGGUGAGUAACGCGUAGGUAAUCUACCCCGGAGUCUGGAAUAACCUGCCGAAAGGCGGGCUAAUACUGGAUAGAGCGACGGAAUCCGUAAUUGGGUUUUCGGGAAA
Molecule: ribosomal RNA, 200 nt
Filed under: uncultured bacterium
Lineage: Bacteria
Description: partial 16S ribosomal RNA
Rfam family: Bacterial small subunit ribosomal RNA
Source: RNAcentral